This 301-nucleotide ribosomal RNA is filed under the name uncultured bacterium. Its description in RNAcentral is "partial 16S ribosomal RNA". It matches the Rfam family "Bacterial small subunit ribosomal RNA", at positions 509 to 807 of the family's 1533-position model. The record is from RNAcentral.
CAGUCGCCGCGGUAAUACGGAGGGGGCUAGCGUUGUUCGGAAUUACUGGGCGUAAAGCGCACGUAGGCGGCUUGGUAAGUUAGAGGUGAAAGCCUGGAGCUCAACUCCAGAAUUGCCUUUAAGACUGCCGAGCUAGCAGGUGAGAGAGGUAAGUGGAAUUCCGAGUGUAGAGGUGAAAUUCGUAGAUAUUCGGAAGAACACCAGUGGCGAAGGCGGCUUACUGGCUCAUACUGGACGCUGAGGUGCGAAAGCGUGGGGAGCAAACAGGAUUAGAUACCCCCGUAGUCCCUGUCUCUUAUAC